CCUACGGGAGGCAGCAGUGGGGAAUCUUGCGCAAUGGGCGAAAGCCUGACGCAGCCAUGCCGCGUGAAUGAUGAAGGUCUUAGGAUUGUAAAAUUCUUUCACCGGGGACGAUAAUGACGGUACCCGGAGAAGAAGCCCCGGCUAACUUCGUGCCAGCAGCCGCGGUAAUACGAAGGGGGCUAGCGUUGCUCGGAAUUACUGGGCGUAAAGGGAGCGUAGGCGGAUAGUUUAGUCAGAGGUGAAAGCCCAGGGCUCAACCUUGGAAUUGCCUUUGAUACUGGCUAUCUUGAGUAUGGGAGAGGUAUGCGGAACUCCGAGUGUAGAGGUGAAAUUCGUAGAUAUUCGGAAGAACACCAGUGGCGAAGGCGGCAUACUGGCCCAUUACUGACGCUGAGGCUCGAAAGCGUGGGGAGCAAACAGGAUUAGAUACCCUGGUAGUCCACGCUGUAAACGAUGAGUGCUAGUUGUCGGCAUGCAUGCAUGUCGGUGACGCAGCUAACGCAUUAAGCACUCCGCCUGGGGAGUACGGUCGCAAGAUUAAAACUUCAAAAGGAAAUUGACGG
RNAcentral lists this ribosomal RNA (563 nucleotides) under uncultured bacterium. RNAcentral describes it as "bacterial SSU rRNA". It matches the Rfam family "Bacterial small subunit ribosomal RNA", at positions 338 to 916 of the family's 1533-position model. The record is from RNAcentral.